CCAGCCUCCAGCUGCCAAGACAAUGAUGGAGAUGUUGGGUGUACACUGGAGGUGUUGUGGAUUGUUGUCUGCUAUGAACAUGGAUUGGAGGGGGGUAAAAGGAUUGGAGGGACAGAUUGGUCUCGACUUAGUUGAAUGAUAGAACAGGCUCAAGAGACUGAGUGGCCAUCUCCUGUUCCUUGAUUCCUGUUGGGAAUGGGGUUGAAGGAUCACAAUUGGAAUUGCCUAUGCCCAGACUGUGUUACUAACUGUGCCCUCUCCAUUGACAGUACUCUGAGAAGGAAGACAAGUAUGAAGAUGAAAUCAAGAUUCUAACUGACAAGCUGAAGGAGGCAGAAACCCGUGCAGAGUUUGCUGAAAGGACUGUUGCCAAACUG
Chiloscyllium plagiosum (whitespotted bambooshark) is the source of this 377-nucleotide non-coding RNA. NCBI's taxonomy places the organism in Eukaryota, Metazoa, Chordata, Chondrichthyes, Orectolobiformes, Hemiscylliidae. The record is from RefSeq and is a predicted model, not a curated record.